Molecule: RNA transcript, 1183 nt
Organism: Haliotis rufescens (red abalone)
Lineage: Eukaryota; Metazoa; Mollusca; Gastropoda; Lepetellida; Haliotidae
Exons: 8
Source: RefSeq, a predicted model, not a curated record
AACAAAAUGGCGACCAGGAAGUGAAUUGUAGAAAUGAUAACGACGAUGUUAGCUGUUUGUAAGCAAAAUGUGAUAUGUCAUGGGAUACCUUAUCAGCCCGUGGAUACAUAAGGUUGGCAUAGACGCCUUAACUCCAAGUGUGGUGAACAGGAGCUGACCCUGUACAGAUUGAUCUCCGCCCUUCACCGCAAAGCAAAGCUGCUACCUACCCAGGCCAGACCCGUGAAGAUUCCGGGGUAGAAUAGGUCUUCAGCAACCCAUGCUUGCUGUAAAAGCAACAAUGGGCGGCUUGCUCGGCUCCUCAAGGCAGACGGUCAGUGUGCACCUCAAGAGGUUCUGCCAGCUUGCCAGAGUGAACGAUCACACUGGGAUUGGAAAAGCCAUCUGGAAUUUGAUCACAGGAAACAUGGUGAAGGAGAAAGCUUUACCGGGGUGGAAAUGUUGCCAGCAUAUGCUAGGAUGCACAAAGAAAGAAUUCAUUCUGCUCUUGGUUGUUCACCAUACAAGGCCAUGCUGGGCUGCCCUCCAGUACACUUCAAGAAUUUGUUGAGAGCUGGGAAUACAGUUGAUGCAAGCUCUUGCUCUGAAGAAGAUGGGCCGUGCGAACUAUCUGCAGGGAGUGAUGAGGAAAGGGAGAACAACAGGCUCAAAACAAGAGGAGAGACAAUACAGAAACAAAAGGACACAAGAAGACUCCAACUAUGAAAGAACUGGAGAUGGAGGCCUCAUUCUAUGACCUUGAGAUUGUGGACAAUGAAGGGGCUGGUAACUGCAUGUUUAUUGCAUUGGCUCAACAGCUUCAACAACAUGACAUUGACAUAAUCUGCCAUAAACAUCUGCGAGAAAAGGAUGUGCAAUAUGUGCAGAGCUGCCAUAGAUUACCGGAUGUAUGUUGGGGUUGAGGAAGCAAUAAUUCUCAUUCUGAUGGAUGUGCUGAAUAAAACCUACGCAGAAGUCAAUCGCGGGUGUAAAUCAACAGAAGUUGAUGCCAGUCAAGGGGUGUCCACAUCACUGUGGAUGACGAAUAAUGACGGUUUGGUUCACACAGGGAGGAUUAAAAUGCCUCUGUUAUACAGGAUGACUGACUUGCUGGAUGUGUUGUGAUGAUUGUGCUUGCACACUGAUGUCAACAACCACCUCUUUACAAGAGGUAAAAAGAUUAAAGUAAUUUGAUGUAUAUGAA